This 474-nucleotide ribosomal RNA is filed under the name uncultured bacterium. RNAcentral describes it as "bacterial SSU rRNA". It matches the Rfam family "Bacterial small subunit ribosomal RNA", at positions 28 to 501 of the family's 1533-position model. The record is from RNAcentral.
GACGAACGCUGGCGGCGUGCUUAAUACAUGCAAGUCAACUGAACUUUAGGUAGCAAUAUUUAAAGGGAGGUGGCGCACGGGUGAGUAACACGUAGGUAAUCUGCCUUCAGGACUGACAUAAUUCCGCGAAAGCGGGACUAAAAUCAGAUGAUGCAGCGGCUCGACAUCGAGCCAGUUGUUAAACCUUCGGGGCCUGAAGAUGAGCCUGCGUCUGAUUAGGUAGUUGGCGGGGUAAAAGCCCACCAAGCCUGCGAUCAGUAGCUGGUCUGAGAGGAUGAUCAGCCACACUGGAACUGAGACACGGUCCAGACUCCUACGGGAGGCAGCAGUAAGGAAUAUUGCUCAAUGGCCGAAAGGCUGAAGCAGCAACGCCGCGUGGAGGAUGAAAUACUUUAGUAUGUAAACUCCUGUAAGAGGGGAAAAAUAUACAGCUAUGCUGUGUUGAUUGUACCCUCAGAGUAAGCACCGGCUAAC